RNAcentral lists this microRNA (20 nucleotides) under Ciona intestinalis (vase tunicate). Its description in RNAcentral is "cin-miR-4001a-5p". The record is from miRBase by way of RNAcentral. Lineage: Eukaryota; Metazoa; Chordata; Ascidiacea; Phlebobranchia; Cionidae.
UGGAACUUAUACGAACAGGC